UCCCUGGUGGUCUAGUGAUUAGGACUCAGCACUAUCAGCUUUCACUGCUAUGGCCCAGGUUCAAUCCCUGGUCUGGGAA
RNAcentral lists this transfer RNA (79 nucleotides) under Sus scrofa (pig). It matches the Rfam family "tRNA". Rfam says of the family: Transfer RNA (tRNA) molecules are approximately 80 nucleotides in length. Their secondary structure includes four short double-helical elements and three loops (D, anti-codon, and T loops). Further hydrogen bonds mediate the characteristic L-shaped molecular structure. tRNAs have two regions of fundamental functional importance: the anti-codon, which is responsible for specific mRNA codon recognition, and the 3' end, to which the tRNAs corresponding amino acid is attached (by aminoacyl-tRNA synthetases). tRNAs cope with the degeneracy of the genetic code in two manners: having more than one tRNA (with a specific anti-codon) for a particular amino acid; and 'wobble' base-pairing, i.e. permitting non-standard base-pairing at the 3rd anti-codon position. Lineage: Eukaryota; Metazoa; Chordata; Mammalia; Artiodactyla; Suidae. The record is from Rfam by way of RNAcentral.